UUGCAAUGGACAAUAUUGUGCGAACUAAACGUCAACAAAGAAACCACUAUAUUUACUGGGCGGUAGUCAUGUGUCUGUUUAUUUUAUUCAUAAUUAUGUUAUUUUUCUUUAUUGAGCAAAAGCCCGUAUACUGCACUGACUAUGAAGUCGUUUGCGUAGAACACGAACAAUAAUUUAAAAAAUUUUAUAUAUGCUUAAAGACAUGCUGCUUGGGACUGCCUGAGGUACGUGAGGCAUAUUAACUAAGUAUUAAUUUGUUAGCCCUUUUUAGUAUUUUUGUAUCGCUUCGAUAGUUUAAAUCGAUCUGAGUUAAUGAUCACGUUUAAACAUUUGUGGCUUUUUCAAGCUGCCAGAGAAAACUACGCCGCCAUUUGCAGACAAUGUGCUCGAUGUUUACACAUAAUUAAGACAAUUUGCUGAUUGGCUGCCAAAAGUUGAGCACAGGCGCUGAGAACUUGCUUAAACAGACGCCAGUUCAAAUUACUCAACUCUUCAAAAAAAAAGAACUGCCUGCUCCAUUAACACGAUAUAUAUUCACAUGAUUUUCAACAAUUUCUCACACAUAUAGGCCGCCAGCACAGUGCCUGUUAGCAGUUGUCUGACAUCGAAUAAAAUAUGAAACCUGUUUUUUUCGUCUACCUUAGCAUCACAU
Long non-coding RNA from Drosophila novamexicana, 652 nucleotides. RefSeq lists it as uncharacterized. The transcript is spliced from 3 exons. The record is from RefSeq and is a predicted model, not a curated record. NCBI's taxonomy places the organism in Eukaryota, Metazoa, Arthropoda, Insecta, Diptera, Drosophilidae.